ACGAACGCUGGCGGCGUGCUUAACACAUGCAAGUCGAACGGAAAGGCCCUGCUUUUGUGGGGUUCUCGAGUGGCGAACGGGUGAGUAACACGUGAGUAACCUGCCCUUGACUUUGGGAUAACUUCAGGAAACUGGGGCUAAUACCGGAUAUGAGCUCCUGCUGCAUGGUGGGGGUUGGAAAGUUUCGGCGGUUGGGGAUGGACUCGCGGCUUAUCAGCUUGUUGGUGGGGUAGUGGCUUACCAAGGCUUUGACGGGUAGCCGGCCUGAGAGGGUGACCGGCCACAUUGGGACUGAGAUACGGCCCAGACUCCUACGGGAGGCAGCAGUGGGGAAUAUUGCACAAUGGGCGGAAGCCUGAUGCAGCAACGCCGCGUGCGGGAUGACGGCCUUCGGGUUGUAAACCGCUUUCGCCUGUGACGAAGCGUGAGUGACGGUAAUGGGUAAAGAAGCACCGGCUAACUACGUG
Molecule: ribosomal RNA, 467 nt
Filed under: uncultured bacterium
Lineage: Bacteria
Description: partial 16S ribosomal RNA
Rfam family: Bacterial small subunit ribosomal RNA
Source: RNAcentral